CAGGUUCUUCCCAGAAGCCUGUUUCAGUAAAUUGCAUGACAGUGUGAAAAUAUCAAAUAAAGAUGAAUCUCUGAAGGAAGAGGCUAUUUUCCUGUGCUUGGUCAGUGGAUGAGUAGUAUCAGCUUGAUUAAUUUCAUUAGUUAGUUGGGACAGGAUUGUCACUCCUAUGAUGCAGUGUUCUACACUAUCCUGCAAGAACCUUGUGACGUCUGUGAUCACGUUCCUGAAGACAUAUUCAUCCUUCUGACAGUCAAAC
This 256-nucleotide long non-coding RNA is filed under the name Gallus gallus (chicken). Lineage: Eukaryota; Metazoa; Chordata; Aves; Galliformes; Phasianidae. The record is from RNAcentral.